AUUUCUUCGAGCGCCAGCUUUUUUCUGAAAAGCUUGACGGAUCGGUACUGAGGGUUUUUGCCAUUUGCACUGGCUCCCUCUAAAUACAUCAGCUGGACUGCACAUGCUAGAGGAAGGAUAUACGUCCCUCUCCCUCCGGAUUUUGAUAAUUAUCAAAAGUACGGACGUGAUGGAAACUUCUUGUCUCGACCAUGGUGGCUGGCUUUAACCCACCCCUGGAAAUCGUUUUCCCAUGGGGAUCUAAUUC
This 247-nucleotide unclassified non-coding RNA is filed under the name uncultured Ustilaginales. Its description in RNAcentral is "sequence contains ITS2". Lineage: Eukaryota; Fungi; Basidiomycota; Ustilaginomycetes; Ustilaginales. The record is from RNAcentral.